AACGAACGCUGGCGGCAGGCCUAACACAUGCAAGUCGAGCGAGGACUUCGGUUCUAGCGGCGUACGGUGGAGUAACGCGUGGGAAUGGUCCCUUCUCUACGGAAUACCUCUGAGAAACUGGGAGUAAUACCGUAUACGCCCUAUUAGGGAAUGAUUUAUUGGAGAAGUUUGAGCCGGCGUUGGAUUAGGUAGUGGGUAGGGUAAUGGCCUCCCAAGCCGAAGAUCCAUAGCUGGGUUGAGAGGAUGAUCAGCCACACUGGGAGUGAGACACGGCCCAGAAUCCUACGGGAUGCAGGAGUGGGGAAUCUUAGACAAUGGCGUCAAUCCUGAACGAGCCAUGACGCGUGAGUGCUGAAGGUAUUAGAGUAGUAAAGCUCUUUCAACUGGGAAGAUAAUGACGGUACCAGCAGAAGAAGCCCCGGCUAACUCCGUG
Molecule: ribosomal RNA, 433 nt
Filed under: uncultured bacterium
Lineage: Bacteria
Description: partial 16S ribosomal RNA
Rfam family: Bacterial small subunit ribosomal RNA
Source: RNAcentral